GAUGAACGCUGGCGGCGUGCUUAACACAUGCAAGUCGAACGGAAAGGCUCCUGCUUGCCGGGGUACUCGAGUGGCGAACGGGUGAGUAACACGUGGGUGAUCUGCCCUGCACUUCGGGAUAAGCCUGGGAAACUGGGUCUAAUACCGGAUAGGACGAUGGUUUGGAUGCCAUUGUGGAAAGUUUUUCGGUGUGGGAUGAGCUCGCGGCCUAUCAGCUUGUUGGUGGGGUAAUGGCCUACCAAGGCGUCGACGGGUAGCCGGCCUGAGAGGGUGGACGGCCACAUUGGGACUGAGAUACGGCCCAGACUCCUACGGGAGGCAGCAGGGGGGAAGAUUGCACAAUGGGCGCAAGCCUGAUGCAGCGACGCCGCGUGGGGGAUGACGGCCUGCGGGUUGUAAACUACUUUCGCUAGGGACGAAGCGCAAGUGACGGUACCUGGAGAAGAAGCACCGGCUAACUACGUG
RNAcentral lists this ribosomal RNA (465 nucleotides) under uncultured bacterium. Its description in RNAcentral is "partial 16S ribosomal RNA". It matches the Rfam family "Bacterial small subunit ribosomal RNA", at positions 28 to 507 of the family's 1533-position model. The record is from RNAcentral.